CACUCAGCACAGCAUUUUCACAUUGGUACUACCCACACUGGUACAGACAGUUUUAGUACAUAUACAGUAUACAAGUUUAAAACCAACCCUUGUUUGCGAGGUUGGUUCAAAUCGCGGAAUAUAUAACGUUGGCAGACUUGGCAGUCAUCAUACGCCAAAGGGUUCCAACUAUUUAGAUAUAAAAAUAGUCAUGUCCAAAAAUUAAAAUAAAAACAAAUGCCAGCCAUAUAUAUUUUCAAUCACUCAAAAACUUUAAUCAGAAUGCCUACAUUUUUAAAGUGCCACUGCGAUGGAAAAUUUUGCUGUCUUUUUAUUGUAUAUUCAGAAAGUAUAUCAGUAGAUAAACAAAGUUACCAAAUAUCAGCGUAUUUCUUUCUGCCUUUUUUUUCAACGCAAACAUGCAAA
Paramuricea clavata is the source of this 405-nucleotide non-coding RNA. Lineage: Eukaryota; Metazoa; Cnidaria; Anthozoa; Malacalcyonacea; Plexauridae. The record is from the annotation of a GenBank genome assembly.